CUACGGGAGGCAGCAGUGGGGAAUUUUGGACAAUGGGCGCAAGCCUGAUCCAGCCAUUCCGCGUGAGUGAAGAAGGCCUUCGGGUUGUAAAGCUCUUUCGCAAGGGAAGAAAGAUUACUCUCUAACAUAGAGUGAUUAUGACGGUACCUUGAUAAGAAGCACCGGCUAACUACGUGCCAGCAGCCGCGGUAAUACGUAGGGUGCGAGCGUUAAUCGGAAUUACUGGGCGUAAAGCGUGCGCAGGCGGUUUUGUAAGUCAGAUGUGAAAUCCCCGAGCUCAACUUGGGAACUGCGUUUGAAACUACAAGACUAGAAUAUGUCAGAGGGGGGUAGAAUUCCACGUGUAGCAGUGAAAUGCGUAGAGAUGUGGAGGAAUACCAAUGGCGAAGGCAGCCCCCUGGGAUAAUAUUGACGCUCAUGCACGAAAGCGUGGGGAGCAAACAGGAUUAGAUACCCCGGUAGC
This 463-nucleotide ribosomal RNA is filed under the name uncultured bacterium. RNAcentral's name for it is "bacterial SSU rRNA". It matches the Rfam family "Bacterial small subunit ribosomal RNA", at positions 339 to 794 of the family's 1533-position model. The record is from RNAcentral.